This 105-nucleotide microRNA precursor is filed under the name Canis lupus dingo (dingo). RNAcentral describes it as "mir-8834 microRNA precursor family". It matches the Rfam family "mir-8834 microRNA precursor family". The record is from Rfam by way of RNAcentral. Lineage: Eukaryota; Metazoa; Chordata; Mammalia; Carnivora; Canidae.
AGGAGGAACAGCCCUAGUUGCGGGGCCAGCUCUGGAAACCUGGAUUCAGCCCCUGCAGGAACUCCGUAGCUCUCUGUCUGCAGGGCCUGGAGGCUCCGGGGCGGG